This 250-nucleotide ribosomal RNA is filed under the name uncultured prokaryote. RNAcentral describes it as "partial 16S ribosomal RNA". It matches the Rfam family "Bacterial small subunit ribosomal RNA", at positions 524 to 772 of the family's 1533-position model. The record is from RNAcentral.
UACGUAGGGGGCGAGCGUUGUCCGGAAUCAUUGGGCGUAAAGCGUUCGUAGGCGGUAAAGUAAGUCAGAUGUUUAAAGCCCGGGGCUCAACUCCGGUUCGGCAUUUGAUACUACUUAACUGGAAUGCGGUAGAGGUAAAGGGAAUUCCUGGUGUAGCGGUGAAAUGCGUAGAUAUCAGGAGGAACAUCGGUGGCGAAAGCGCUUUACUGGGCCGUUAUUGACGCUGAGGAACGAAAGCCGGGGGAGCAAA